Molecule: ribosomal RNA, 492 nt
Filed under: uncultured bacterium
Lineage: Bacteria
Description: partial 16S ribosomal RNA
Rfam family: Bacterial small subunit ribosomal RNA
Source: RNAcentral
AGUGAACGCUGGCGGUAGGCCUAACACAUGCAAGUCGAACGGCAGCACAGUAAGAGUUUGCUCUUACGGGUGGCGAGUGGCGGACGGGUGAGGAAUACAUCGGAAUCUACUUUUUCGUGGGGGAUAACGUAGGGAAACUUACGCUAAUACCGCAUACGACCUACGGGUUAAAGCAGUGGAGCUUCGGACCUUGCGCGAUUGAAUGAGCCGAUGUCGGAUUAGCUAGUUGGCGGGGUAAAGGCCCACCAAGGCAACGAUCCGUAGCUGGUCUGAGAGGAUGAUCAGCCACACUGGAACUGAGACACGGUCCAGACUCCUACGGGAGGCAGCAGUGGGGAAUAUUGGACAAUGGGCGAAAGCCUGAUCCAGCCAUGCCGCGUGGGUGAAGAAGGCCUUCGGGUUGUAAAGCCCUUUUGUUGGGAAAGAAAAGCAGCAGGUUAAAACCCCGCUGUUCUGACGGUACCCAAAGAAUAAGCACCGGCUAACUUCGUG